CAGUCGCCGCGGUAAUACGAAGGGGGCUAGCGUUGUUCGGAAUUACUGGGCGUAAAGCGCACGUAGGCGGAUAUUUAAGUCAGGGGUGAAAUCCCAGAGCUCAACUCUGGAACUGCCUUUGAUACUGGGUAUCUUGAGUAUGGAAGAGGUGAGUGGAAUUCCGAGUGUAGGGGUGAAAUUCGUAGAUAUUCGGAGGAACACCAGUGGCGAAGGCGGCUCACUGGUCCAUUACUGACGCUGAGGUGCGAAAGCGUGGGGAGCAAACAGGAUUAGAUACCCCGGUAGUCCCUGUCUCUUAUAC
Molecule: ribosomal RNA, 301 nt
Filed under: uncultured bacterium
Lineage: Bacteria
Description: partial 16S ribosomal RNA
Rfam family: Bacterial small subunit ribosomal RNA
Source: RNAcentral